This 334-nucleotide ribosomal RNA is filed under the name uncultured bacterium. RNAcentral's name for it is "bacterial SSU rRNA". It matches the Rfam family "Bacterial small subunit ribosomal RNA", at positions 459 to 793 of the family's 1533-position model. The record is from RNAcentral.
UGUGAUGAUAAUGACAGUAGCAGGUAAGAAACCCCGGCUAACUCCGUGCCAGCAGCCGCGGUAAUACGGAGGGGGUUAGCGUUGUUCGGAAUUACUGGGCGUAAAGCGCGCGUAGGCGGACUAUUAAGUCAGGGGUGAAAUCCCGGGGCUCAACCCCGGAACUGCCCUUGAUACUGGUAGUCUUGAGUUCGAGAGAGGUGAGUGGAAUUCCGAGUGUAGAGGUGAAAUUCGUAGAUAUUCGGAGGAACACCAGUGGCGAAGGCGGCUCACUGGCUCGAUACUGACGCUCAGAUGCGAAAGCGUGGGGAGCAAACAGGAUUAGAUACCCUGGUAG